Molecule: ribosomal RNA, 465 nt
Filed under: Vreelandella stevensii
Lineage: Bacteria; Pseudomonadati; Pseudomonadota; Gammaproteobacteria; Oceanospirillales; Halomonadaceae
Description: partial 16S ribosomal RNA
Rfam family: Bacterial small subunit ribosomal RNA
Source: RNAcentral
CCUACGGGGGGCAGCAGUGGGGAAUAUUGGACAAUGGGGGGAACCCUGAUCCAGCCAUGCCGCGUGUGUGAAGAAGGCCCUCGGGUUGUAAAGCACUUUCAGUGAGGAAGAACGCCUGGUGGUUAAUACCCAUCAGGAAAGACAUCACUCACAGAAGAAGCACCGGCUAACUCCGUGCCAGCAGCCGCGGUAAUACGGAGGGUGCGAGCGUUAAUCGGAAUUACUGGGCGUAAAGCGCGCGUAGGUGGCUUGAUAAGCCGGUUGUGAAAGCCCCGGGCUCAACCUGGGAACGGCAUCCGGAACUGUCAAGCUGGAGUGCAGGAGAGGAAGGUAGAAUUCCCGGUGUAGCGGUGAAAUGCGUAGAGAUCGGGAGGAAUACCAGUGGCGAAGGCGGCCUUCUGGACUGACACUGACACUGAGGUGCGAAAGCGUGGGUAGCAAACAGGAUUAGAUACCCCAGUAGUC